This 206-nucleotide ribosomal RNA is filed under the name uncultured bacterium. Its description in RNAcentral is "partial 16S ribosomal RNA". It matches the Rfam family "Bacterial small subunit ribosomal RNA", at positions 568 to 774 of the family's 1533-position model. The record is from RNAcentral.
CACGCAGGUGGCUGAGUCAGUCGAUUGUGAAAGCCCUGGGCUUAACCUGGGAAUUGCAGUCGAUACUACUUAGCUAGAGUAUGGGAGAGGGUAGUGGAAUUCCCGGUGUAGCGGUGAAAUGCGUAGAUAUCGGGAGGAACAUCAGUGGCGAAGGCGGCUACCUGGCCCAAUACUGACACUCAGGUGCGACAGCGUGGGAGCAAACA